Molecule: ribosomal RNA, 490 nt
Filed under: uncultured bacterium
Lineage: Bacteria
Description: partial 16S ribosomal RNA
Rfam family: Bacterial small subunit ribosomal RNA
Source: RNAcentral
AUUGAACGCUGGCGGCAGGCCUAACACAUGCAAGUCGAACGGUAACAGGAAGCAGCUUGCUGCUUUGCUGACGAGUGGCGGACGGGUGAGUAAUGUCUGGGAAACUGCCCGAUGGAGGGGGAUAACUACUGGAAACGGUAGCUAAUACCGCAUAACGUCGCAAGACCAAAGAGGGGGACCUUAGGGCCUCUUGCCAUCGGAUGUGCCCAGAUUGGAUUAGCUAGUAGGUGGGGUAACGGCUCACCUAGGCGACGAUCCCUAGCUGGUCUGAGAGGAUGACCAGCCACACUGGAACUGAGACACGGUCCAGACUCCUACGGGAGGCAGCAGUGGGGAAUAUUGCACAAUGGGCGCAAGCCUGAUGCAGCCAUGCCGCGUGUAUGAAGAAGGCCUUCGGGUUGUAAAGUACUUUCAGCGGGGAGGAAGGGAGUAAAGUUAAUACCUUUGCUCAUUGACGUUACCCGCAGAAGAAGCACCGGCUAACUCCGUG